This 336-nucleotide ribosomal RNA is filed under the name Triticum aestivum (bread wheat). RNAcentral describes it as "partial small subunit ribosomal RNA". The record is from RNAcentral. Lineage: Eukaryota; Viridiplantae; Streptophyta; Magnoliopsida; Poales; Poaceae.
AUGUGGGUCUGUCCGGCUGUCACUACGGCUGGAGUUGCAGCGCCGGUACACGGAGAUCAACAGGAAGGUGGCCAUCGCCAGGACCCUCUUGAGCCUCAUGCAGGAGGACAUGUACGUACUAACAUAAACAAGAUGACAGAUAAGUUCUUUGCUCUUCAGCUCAAAGUGACGGAGGUGAAUGCGUUGUUCACCAUGAAGCAGAAUCACUCCUCCAAAGACCUGUUAGGACAGCAAGGACAAGUGCACGAUGGUGCGCCGAAGCAUCACGGUGAACAUGGUAAUGUCAGGUUGUUGAUGGAGCGAUACAAAUUGGUAAUCGAUUUUAUUGAGAGUUAG